RNAcentral lists this ribosomal RNA (238 nucleotides) under uncultured bacterium. RNAcentral's name for it is "partial 16S ribosomal RNA". It matches the Rfam family "Bacterial small subunit ribosomal RNA", at positions 96 to 334 of the family's 1533-position model. The record is from RNAcentral.
CGGCGGACGGGUGAGUAACGCGUGGGUAACCUGCCUCAUACAGGGGGAUAACAGUUAGAAAUGACUGCUAAUACCGCAUAAGACCACGGUACCGCAUGGUACAGUGGUAAAAACUCCGGUGGUAUGAGAUGGACCCGCGUCUGAUUAGGUAGUUGGUGGGGUAACGGCCUACCAAGCCGACGAUCAGUAGCCGACCUGAGAGGGUGACCGGCCACAUUGGGACUGAGACACGGCCCAA